This is a non-coding RNA of Sarcophilus harrisii (Tasmanian devil), 46 nucleotides long. The record is from Rfam. Lineage: Eukaryota; Metazoa; Chordata; Mammalia; Dasyuromorphia; Dasyuridae.
AAAACAGAUUUUAUCAAAUCUAUCAAUAUACACUAGAAAAGUUAUU